CCCGGAAAUUUUGGCUCAUGAUGAGCCUAUGUUAGAUUAGCUAGUUGGUGGGGUAAUGGCCUACCAAGGCAGUGAUCUAUAGCUGGUCUGAGAGGAUGAUCAGCCACACUGGAACUGAGACACGGUCCAGACUCCUACGGGAGGCAGCAGUGGGGAAUAUUGGACAAUGGGCGCAAGCCUGAUCCAGCUAUGCCGCGUGAGUGAGGAAGGCCUUAGGGUUGUAAAACUCUUUCAGUAGGGAGGGUAGUAGACGGUACAAC
This 260-nucleotide ribosomal RNA is filed under the name Anaplasma phagocytophilum. RNAcentral describes it as "partial 16S ribosomal RNA". It matches the Rfam family "Bacterial small subunit ribosomal RNA", at positions 198 to 464 of the family's 1533-position model. The record is from RNAcentral. Lineage: Bacteria; Pseudomonadati; Pseudomonadota; Alphaproteobacteria; Rickettsiales; Anaplasmataceae.